GAUGAACGCUGGCGGCGUGCCUAAUACAUGCAAGUCGAGCGAACAGACGAGGAGCUUGCUCCUCUGACGUUAGCGGCUGACGGGUGAGUAACACGUGGAUAACCUACCUAUAAGACUUGGAGAACUUCGUGAAACCGGAGCUAAUACCGGAUAAUAUAUUCAACCGCAUGGUUCAAUAGUGAAAGACGGUUUUGCUGUCACUUAUAGAUGGAUCCGCGCCGCAUUAGCUAGUUGGUAAGGUAACGGCUUACCAAGGCAACGAUGCGUAGCCGACCUGAGAGGGUGAUCGGCCACACUGGAACUGAGACACGGUCCAGACUCCUACGGGAGGCAGCAGUAGGGAAUAUUGCGCAAUGGGCGAAAGCUUGACGGAGCAACGCCGCGUGAGUGAUGAAGGUCUUCGGAUCGUAAAACUCUGUUAUUAGGGAAGAACAAAUGUGUAAGUAACUAUGCACGUCUUGACGGUACCUAAUCAGAAAGCCACGGCUAACUACGUG
Molecule: ribosomal RNA, 497 nt
Filed under: uncultured bacterium
Lineage: Bacteria
Description: partial 16S ribosomal RNA
Rfam family: Bacterial small subunit ribosomal RNA
Source: RNAcentral